This 215-nucleotide long non-coding RNA is filed under the name Gossypium barbadense (sea-island cotton). Its description in RNAcentral is "long non-coding RNA (GBAR_LNC016069)". The record is from RNAcentral. Lineage: Eukaryota; Viridiplantae; Streptophyta; Magnoliopsida; Malvales; Malvaceae.
CACCACAGCAGCCGAACCUAAAUUUCUGAUAUAAAAAUACUGUAACAGUCUAAUAUUAUAGAUGCAUUGUAAUAGGGAAAUGAGGAUAUGGUUUUGUCUUUUUUCUUACAAAUGACUCUUGAAAAUUUGGGCCUUUCCAAGUUGAAAUAAUUGCUUAUUCUCCAUAUGUAAUUCAUUGCUGACACCUUUCUCGAGGAAAUGGUGUAAACACCUUC